AAGAAAUUAGCAGCAUUAAAAAUAUCUUCUUAAUAUUGGCAUUCUGAAAACUCAAUGCUCCAAAAUCUGAGGUAAUUCCUCGGCUGCUGUGAUUUUGGCAUAACGGCUAACUAAUCGAAUUUCUGGUUAAGGUACAUAUCUCAUGCCUCACUCCUCUUUCGUCUCUCUUUAUGUACUUGAUUUGCUUUCUGAUCCAAUUCUUAGAUCUCCAUCCUCAUCAAACCCAACUUACUUCGCUUUUGUUAUCAUUUUCGAUACCUAAUUAGGAUGAGAUUCAAAUUUUUCAUAAUUUUAAGUGUUGAUCUAGCUUGUUUUAAAACCAAAUUAACUUUUUGAAAUCUCUUCAAGAUGUUUGAUAAAAUGCCUCGAUGAAUAUGUGCUUUGUCAUGUGUCAAUUUGACAAUUUCACUACCUAUAAAUGUUGUGAGCUUGUAUUUCUUGGAUCUGCAGCAGCAAAUGAUGGAAAAAGAGGAUGAUAAGUUUUUAGUAUUGUGGCUCUAGGCUCUGCAACUAAUGAUGGAAUUGCUCGCCUUAAUGAAACGUGAAUUCUUUAUAUUCUACUCAGCUUCUUGUUUAUUUGAUUAUUCAAUGGAAAAUUGAGACAGGCAAUUAAAAGAGAAAUUACUCCAAGUAUUUUCUGAUUAUUAAUCUUUUUUUUGUUUUGAUACUUGGGUUCAGUUUUGCUAUUUACCAUUGAAGCUACUGUUAUUAUUUUUGAUUUUUUGUCAUCAUAUUCCAUGCCUUUUUGAAGUUAUGCGGAGCUAUUUCCCUAAUAUGAACUUCAUGUAGCUUUGGGGAGUUGCUAAUGUGGUUUUGGAGCAAUUCAGGAUAUUAGUGAUUACUUUCUUUUGAUGUUUCAACCAGGACAUUGUUGGAGCAUUUGAAUGUUAUAUGGGAGGUAAUUCUCUUCCAGGCAAAUAUGAAAGACCAAAACAGUUAUGUGCCGCCACCUUAUAUUCCAUUGGGACAAGCAGAUUUAGAGGCUGAGAUUGUUCCUCAAAAUGAAGGCCAUCUUGCUUCAAAUCAAACAAGUGAUGGACUGACACUAUGGUCAUCUGGAAUCUGUGCUUGUUGCGAUGAUAUGCAGAGCUGUAUGCUACUUUCUGCCUUCUGACCUUGAUUUAUCAGAAGAAAAAUAAUAUGAAGGUUGUGUGGGUCUCUUUUGUCCUUGCUAUUUGUUUGGAAAGAAUGCAGAGUUUUUGGGCUCUGGAACUUUGAUUGGCUCAUGCAUGACCCAUUUUAUUUUGUGGGCUCUUGUCAAUACUGUAUGUUGUUGCAUGACCGAUGGCAUUUUGUUGGGAUUACCUGGAUGCUUUGUUGCAUGUUAUGCCUGUGGUUACCGCAGGGCACUGCGUGAAAAGUAUAAUUUGCCGGAAGCACCAUGUGGCGACUUCACUACACAUUUUUUCUGCCACUUAUGUGCUAAUUGCCAAGAAUACAGAGAGAUUCGUGAAAGGAAUUGCAACUCUAAUUCUGCUGAUGUUAAGCUGCCAGUGGUCACAGCUCCUUCAGUUCAGAUAAUGGAGUCGAAUAAUAUUUCAGAAUAAUACUAUUGCUGCUGGAAACUUGUGGUAGGACAAACAGAUGAUUGUUGCUGUGCUUGGCUCUUUAUGUUCUUUGGCUGAUUUGUCACUUAAGCUUGAGAUGGUAUUGUUCUUCAAAUUUGUGUCACUUGAGCUGAGCUGUGUUGCUAAAGGCAUAUUAUCUUAAUAUUGUAUUAUGACAUUAAAUGAAUUGUUGUUACAUGUUUGUGAUAAUCUGCUGUCUUGAUUCCGUCAAUUUUGACACAGAUGGAAACUAUCUUUAUUUGAAGGCAGAUUGGCUGUAUAAACAGAAAAAAUAAGUGCAGUUGACAUCUCUCUCUCUCAAACAUAGAUUGUCG
RNAcentral lists this unclassified non-coding RNA (1882 nucleotides) under Hevea brasiliensis (rubber tree). The record is from RNAcentral. Lineage: Eukaryota; Viridiplantae; Streptophyta; Magnoliopsida; Malpighiales; Euphorbiaceae.